Molecule: ribosomal RNA, 541 nt
Filed under: uncultured Bacteroidota bacterium
Lineage: Bacteria; Pseudomonadati; Bacteroidota
Description: bacterial SSU rRNA
Rfam family: Bacterial small subunit ribosomal RNA
Source: RNAcentral
ACGAGAGUCUGAACCAGCCAAGUAGCGUGCAGGAUGACGGCCCUAUGGGUUGUAAACUGCUUUUAUAAGGGAAUAAAGUGAGUCUCGUGAGACUUUUUGCAUGUACCUUAUGAAUAAGGACCGGCUAAUUCCGUGCCAGCAGCCGCGGUAAUACGGAAGGUCCGGGCGUUAUCCGGAUUUAUUGGGUUUAAAGGGAGCGUAGGCCGGAGAUUAAGCGUGUUGUGAAAUGUAGACGCUCAACGUCUGCACUGCAGCGCGAACUGGUUUCCUUGAGUACGCACAAAGUGGGCGGAAUUCGUGGUGUAGCGGUGAAAUGCUUAGAUAUCACGAAGAACUCCGAUUGCGAAGGCAGCUCACUGGAGCGCAACUGACGCUGAAGCUCGAAAGUGCGGGUAUCGAACAGGAUUAGAUACCCUGGUAGUCCGCACGGUAAACGAUGGAUGCCCGCUGUUGGUCUGAAUAGGUCAGCGGCCAAGCGAAAGCAUUAAGCAUCCCACCUGGGGAGUACGCCGGCAACGGUGCAACUCAAAUGAAUUGACGG